CUCGCGCACCAGGAAACAAAGAGGAAAGAAAAAGUCUUUGCCUCUUCGGCAGCUCCAGACUUUUCCCCGGACUCCCUCCCGGCUAGCCGUGGUGCACUGGCCCCCUGCAGGCUGUGUUCACGCUGCCAACUCCAGUCCUCUCCUUGCACUCCAACCGAAGCCAGAGCCUCAGCUCCCAGCCCCGUCCGCCCCAGCGGGUGAGCAGACAAGCCUCUCGGACUGGUGGGGCUGAGUUCCUUCCAUGUUGGUUGUUUGGCAUGAGGCGACCCAGCACCGGAGCCUACAGGCUCUUUGGUGGGGCUAAUGGCGGACACUGGGAGGGCUCACGCCAAGUAGUACUUCCUAGAACUUCUGCUGCCAGUGUCCUUGUCCCCACGGUGAGCCACAGCCACCCCUACCUCUGCAGGAGACCCUCCAACACUAGCAGGGUGAAAACUAUUCAGCAGAAAUGAAAAAGAGAGGUCCAAGUCAUUGGAGGGCAGCUUCUGCCUAUAAACCCAGGACAUAUACAUGAGGUUGCCAGCGUUACUCGGGGACGAUCACUGAAAGGGCUGGGACUCCACCAGGGAAAGGCUCCAGUAUGACAUAAAGGAGCCGACAUCAGGAAAAGAAAAACAUGGUCAAAGUUCUGGGAGAAAAAAAAAGGGGCUCAGUUGCAAAGACAAUUCGAUUAAUUAUGCUGAAUAUCUUUCUUCUCUCAGGCUGCCUUUUAGAGGUUUUACCACGUAUGCUAUCCCAGCGGGUAGCUAGGUCUUUGACAUAUCUUCUAUCUG
Molecule: long non-coding RNA, 773 nt
Organism: Lagenorhynchus albirostris (white-beaked dolphin)
Lineage: Eukaryota; Metazoa; Chordata; Mammalia; Artiodactyla; Delphinidae
Exons: 3
Source: RefSeq, a predicted model, not a curated record